GGGGGCGUACUGGUUUCGACUGGGUAGAUAUGUCUGAGGUAGCAUGCCGAGGAUGGUUCGUUGGCCUCGUAAAAAAUCGGACCAAUAGCAAUAACUGCUAAUAAUGAUCUAGCUCUCGCAGCAUAAAGUUCUGCGACGUUUCUCUGCUGACACCUGCUGGGUGGAAGAAACGCGAUAGCAGGUUAGGUUCUGAGGGGAGACCGCGCGUGAAGAACCGAAACUUAUUUCAUGCGGACUACGAUGAGUGACUCGUGCCGGAUCGUCAUCACACAUCGGAAAUUUACUAUCCGGACAAGCAUGUAGAAGCUUCACGAUAAGUUUGCUUAGGACGCGGGUUCAAUUCCCGCCGCUUCCACCA
Molecule: transfer-messenger RNA, 358 nt
Filed under: Verrucomicrobiia
Lineage: Bacteria; Pseudomonadati; Verrucomicrobiota
Also listed under: 1 other name
Description: AAA164-E04 sp002690655 Standard tmRNA
Rfam family: transfer-messenger RNA
About the family: Bacterial tmRNA, also known as 10Sa RNA or SsrA, is named for its dual tRNA and mRNA-like properties.
Source: RNAcentral